UCAGCGAGGGACCGCCGCCUUUGUGUGGCGAGGGGGCGCCGGCUGGGGCUGGACCUCCCAGAAGUGUGAGUGUGCAAGGAAAUACACACCCUGGUGUGGAAAUGCUGGGGGCUCGGUAUUCAGUUAGGGAAUGCAAACGUCCUGGCGAGUGGUGAGGGAGUGUACCUGGUCGUAGUGCUACAGGCCGAGUCAUUGCUGCAGUAUCUGCUGGGAUUCAGAGCCUAACGUUUAUGCCGAAGCCAUCUCAGGCCCACAUGCAGACGACUGGCGGCCGUGAGUGCCG
RNAcentral lists this long non-coding RNA (283 nucleotides) under Volvox carteri. Its description in RNAcentral is "long non-coding RNA (VCAR_LNC003852)". Lineage: Eukaryota; Viridiplantae; Chlorophyta; Chlorophyceae; Chlamydomonadales; Volvocaceae. The record is from RNAcentral.